UACGUAGGGUGCAAGCGUUGUCCGGAAUUAUUGGGCGUAAAGAGCUCGUAGGCGGUCUGUCGCGUCGGAUGUGAAAAUCCAGGGCUCAACCCUGGACCUGCAUUCGAUACGGGCAGACUAGAGUUCGGUAGGGGAGACUGGAAUUCCUGGUGUAGCGGUGAAAUGCGCAGAUAUCAGGAGGAACACCAGCGGCGAAGGCGGCGCUCUGGGCCGGAACUGACGCUGAGGAGCGAAAGCGUGGGGAGCAAACAGG
Molecule: ribosomal RNA, 253 nt
Filed under: uncultured bacterium
Lineage: Bacteria
Description: partial 16S ribosomal RNA
Rfam family: Bacterial small subunit ribosomal RNA
Source: RNAcentral